UAAGCAAGAAACUUAAAGUAUUAUGGUUUCGGCCCAUAACUAGGCACAUUACUACGCCCUUGCUUUA
RNAcentral lists this transfer RNA (67 nucleotides) under Beringiana fukuharai. RNAcentral describes it as "tRNA-Arg". The record is from RNAcentral. Lineage: Eukaryota; Metazoa; Mollusca; Bivalvia; Unionida; Unionidae.